Non-coding RNA from Oryza sativa Japonica Group (Japanese rice), 1959 nucleotides. The record is from RefSeq and is a predicted model, not a curated record. NCBI's taxonomy places the organism in Eukaryota, Viridiplantae, Streptophyta, Magnoliopsida, Poales, Poaceae.
AUUUUUGUAAGACGUGGAUCUGUAUGUCAACAAUUGUCGUUUGUGUACCUUGGCUGAUCCUGGACAGGGGUUUUAAUGCACAUUCAGCUUAGAAAUUCUGGUUCGUGAAUUUCUGGGCUCAACAAUGGUGCCCCAUCCCAAAAAUUACCUUUGAAUUAUACUAGGUUAUUUAAAAACUAAACUUUCUAUAUAAAAGUUUCUUUUAUAAACAAAUAAAUCUAUUUUUCAAGUUAAUAGCUAAUACUUAAUUAAUCACACGCUAAUGACUCAUCUCGUUUUCAUGCCGGUGAUAAUCUUCAGCCUGCAGCACAUUCAAAUGGAGCCUUACUCUAACAUUAUUCCUUCAUGAUAUAUUAUUAUCAUAAGUACACGGGAGCCCUCGAAACCAAAAUCACAUAGGGAUUAUGGUUGACUAGAAACAUGUUUGAGUGGAUAUAUCAAUCAGGUAAGGCGCAACAUGAUGUCUCGUUCAUUUGUAGUUUGAUUGUUAACAUAUUCUCGACCAAAUCGUAGUUAUCUUUUGUCACCGAAAGAUCAGGAUCCCAAGACACAUCCAAAUCUAGAUUGAUGGAUGGUCUACUUCGCCAAGUAUUAGGAAUGCUUGGUUAAAGGGGUGUUUUGCUUCAUAUCCAUAAUUUGUAGAUUCAUAUUUUUUAACUCCAUAGAGCAUCCUCUCUGCCAUUGUAAACAUGACAAAUGUUUAAGUUAAUCUCCUUACUUCUAAGCAAAACCUAAUUUCCUUUGCUUGUUGCUAACAACCAAGGAAUUAAUAUAUAUCUAUAUGCCAUAUCAUCUGUCUAUCCUUUGUAAAGUCACUUGCCCUUGCAUUACUUACAACUUGCUUCACGAAAAAAUAGCAGUGUGAAAGUGCACAAUAGUUUUAUAGGAUACGCAUGAGUUUCAUAGCAUUCACUUUGCAUGCCCAAACUGGUAAGCAAACAAAUGCCACAUGUCUGUAUCAUCUACCUUUCUCAUACAAAUCAUUAUCUUGUAGCAUGGAAGAAAAUCUGUUUGUUUCAAAGCACACAUGCAUUUUGUCAUAUUUCCUUUUGUGCACUUAUCCAAACAAAUGAAACAAAGGAACCACGUAUACAAACUUUUUCAUACUUAUCUGAACUUAUCGAACAAAGGAUCCACGCAAGCCUGGCUAGAUGGCAUAUGACCUAUUGAUCGCGUGCGUAACAAUCAGUUCACUUUGUGCAUCGUUAUACUUAUCGGUAUCCCUAUAAAUAGGCAGGCUAUGUUGCACAUAAAGAACACAAUUCAAUUAUACAGCAAAUAAUUCACAAUUAUUAGAAUUGUAGCGAAGAUGUCCCAUUGGGGCCAUAGACCAGCAAGGGCCAAGCACCAUAGAGUUCCAUCUCUAAUUCCGGAGGACUUCGCUGUUGUAGACUUCAAGGAGGAGACUAUAGUGUCCCGUGGAGAAAACACAACGGGAAGACAACCACUUAGGGAGGAACCACAGAAGAUGACAGUGAUGGAGGAAUCACACAAUAUUCACAAUCAGGCCAAGCAUCAGUGCUCUAAGGAGCUAAGCGAUGAAGAGGACUCUGAGAAGGGUGAAAGUAGUGGUCAAAAGAAUGGUGAUGAUAAAAAGGAUUCCAAAAAGCAUGGUAGCAAUGGUGAAAAACGAGUAUGAUAAUUGAAGGUAUAUAUGCAGUGAAGAUGUAUGGAUCCUAUGAAACUAGCAAUAAAUGGAAUAAGCAUGCAUGGCUUGCUUAAUAGUAAUUAUAACCAUAUGUGGAAAUGGAUAUUUGAAUUCCAGUAGUUAUUGUAAGUAUUUUUAGUUUCUUCUAUGAAAGUUAUGUAUUAUAAUUUUAUUAAUACCUACUCCCUUCAUUCCAAAAUAAACCAACCUACUAAGCAUGUGACACAUCCUAGUACCAGGUUGGUUUAUUUUGGGACGGAGGGAAUACCAAUCUUGCUAUCUCGUCAUAUCAUCAGUGGCUUUAUUGUCUA